Molecule: long non-coding RNA, 724 nt
Filed under: Neodiprion pinetum (white pine sawfly)
Lineage: Eukaryota; Metazoa; Arthropoda; Insecta; Hymenoptera; Diprionidae
Description: uncharacterized LOC124213242, transcript variant X1
Source: RNAcentral
CGCUGCAACACCGACGCCUGCACUUCUCAAUCAUGGGACCUCUUCAGAGCGUUACGUCCGUGAUGUGACGUCAUAACGGAUGCUUCCGGAAGAUUCGGGAAUUAGAUUUUAGAUUAUGUCGGAAAAGUGUACCGCACACACACAUAUACACACGCGUUCACUGUGCACACUGUAUCACUGGAUGUAUCCUCGUCGCCAAUUAACUGUCCGGAAAGCGUAACGAGUGUGUAAUCGCGUUGACGGUCAAAAAUAUACUGACCUCAUUCUCGAGAUUCCGAUCGGUGUUACGUCCCAGCUGAUAACUACGGUGGCGCCCUCUCUUAGUUGAUUUCAGCAAUGAAUCUGACUAUGGGUGACGCAAUAAAGAAUUCAACGGAAAAGCAAAUAUCAAAUGAUACAGAUAUUGCGUGUUAUUUAUAGAAAGAAAGAAUCCGAAAUUCAAUGUGAAAUGUCAUUAACAAGUGGGAGUCUGGAAAAACAGAAGUAGGUACGAAAUAAUUCAUCGUCAAAGCGGGAUUAAAGUUGUCAGACAGCGAAGCAUGUUCGAAGUUUAAACUUUGAUUAACACGAGGAAAAUUAUGCCUCACCUGAUGGUCAAAACGUUUCUGUAGCAAGGAUCCUGGUUUCUCCAGCGAUGCAAUCAUUAAAACCAUCAAACCUGGUUGUUCCGUCAGACAUCGGGUGCCAGAGUGAAUUUCAUCAGGCCAUCGCCACCUUCUUAACA